CCAAAUCUGUUUAUUACAGAGAUUAUUACAUUAUUACAGCCCAAAAUAGUAUAAGCUACAUAACAAUAUCCAUUGCACUAUAGGGAGCCUUAGCAUGCCCAAUAUAAACCUGGGAACCAGGUCUUCAAACAUAGCAACUCUGAAGCAUAAAGGAAGAUCCAUCCAUGCCACAUAAAAUUAGGUUCCUAGUGUGUCAAAGUUCCCCAAGGGCCUCAGAGACCCCGGGCAAUGCUCACACCAGGACCACACUUAAAGAAACAAUUCAUAAAAGAUUGGAAGGCCAAUUCCAAUGUGUCAGUGUUCAGAGGAGUCUCAAGGACCCUAGGCAAUGCUCACACUAGGGGUAGUAGGAACCUAAAGGACUAAGAGUAUCAACUUGAAAACCAGUACAUAGAGGGUAAGGGGAUAGUUCUAGAAAAAACAGUUUAAUUUUCAGAAGCAAAUAGAUUCAUAUUACAGGGUUGAAAACAGAGUUGUAAGAAACAAACAGAAUUUAUAUUUGGCACAUGGUUCAAGCAGAUUGAUAUUUGUUCAAACUAGAUACUCAUGCCAGUAUUCAAAGUAAUCAUAGAACGUAAGGACACUUGAAUUAACAGACAGAAUUAGCCACAUAUUAAUUACAUGCUUGCAGUAUUCAGCCAUGUUUAGAACAGGGAACAUAUGACUGAAUCAUACAAGGUUUCACAUUAUUGGAGAUAACUUAGUUUAGCAUUAACACUAAGUGGAAUCAUAUAGUCAUAUGGCAAACAGAAUCAUUCUAAAAUAAACUAACCAAAUAAGCACAUAGAACACAAUAGGAUGACAUGAAUCAAAGCAUAACAGUUGAGAAAGAAGUAAACAGGUAGACAAUGGAAAUUUGAACCCAAAGAAUCUAGCCUUGACUUUCAGCCGUCCAAAGAGUAUAGAAAUCAGAAUAAUAAAAAGAGAGAAGUUUUUUAGAACAGAGAGUUUGAAAGUUAUAAGGUUGUUCAGUGAAGAAGUUGUAAAGCGUGUAAGUGUCUUAGUGUGUCUUUGUAAAAUUAGGACAAAGGAGUGGCUUUUAUAGCAUAUAGUAGAGUAAAAUGAAUAAGGUAUAAAAUCAAUUACACACAAAUAAGGUAUGAAAAUCAGUUAAUCAAUCAAUUACGAUCAACAUGAAUCAACUAAGAAGACAAAAAUCAAGUAAGUACCACUUAUUUUAAG
This 1182-nucleotide long non-coding RNA is filed under the name Nicotiana benthamiana. Its description in RNAcentral is "long non-coding RNA (NBEN_LNC004823)". Lineage: Eukaryota; Viridiplantae; Streptophyta; Magnoliopsida; Solanales; Solanaceae. The record is from RNAcentral.